Molecule: long non-coding RNA, 1819 nt
Filed under: Salmo salar (Atlantic salmon)
Lineage: Eukaryota; Metazoa; Chordata; Actinopteri; Salmoniformes; Salmonidae
Description: lncRNA (ENSSSAG00000112376.1)
Source: RNAcentral
ACGUGGGCUAGGAAAGGACGGACGACGGAUCCAGUCUAACAAACAGACGAAGAUACCACCACGUAUCCAAUGUACCACCAGAGACAUUCUUCCGAGGACAGGAAGAUCUGUUGGCCAACCCGGCCAGCAUCUACGACCAAUCUACCGAAGCGCAGCUCAGAGUUUGAGGAAAGAGGGGAGACAGGAGGCGAAAAGGGGUUCCCGGUAGCGUUUUCAUCAAAGGCUUUUCCGUCAGCACUUCAGAGUGGCCGUCAGUAUGGAAAUGUGUUGUGCUGCCUGGAAAGCUGUCAGAGAACACAUUUCUUGGAUGGGACCCUGCUAAUUGAACUGGGCUUCUGUCGGCUAUGUUCUCUGGUCCCCUCAUUAUGCACUGUGAGAUGGUAGGGGUCUCUCUCUCACUCUCUCUCUCUCUGUAGUUCACUCUCUCACUGUUUAAUCUGUCAGAUACCUCUCCAACCCAUUGUUUUUUCACCCACACCUUGUGUGUUAGUUGUUAACAUCAAAAGGAACUGUCUCAAUGUCAUGGCAGGUAAAAAAUAAUGUAGGCCUAGAGAUGAACAAGGAAGACUUGAGGAAGGGGACAAUUGAAUAUGUUUACUUGUGACGGGAGAUGUGCAGGUGAGAAGAGACUUCACUUGACUGGGCCGCUCCAGGGUAAACACACACACACACAGUUGUAAGGAGGCCAUUAACUGACAGCAUAGUUCCUGCUCUACUCUCCAGGUUGAACGACAAAAGAAGAAAAAAACAACAACAUGAAAUUCCAAAUACUUAGAUCAAAGAAGAAUAAAUAAACCAGUAACACGAGCAUGUUGACUGUCAGAAAAGAGCAUUUGACUAUUCAAUAUAACACCUUCUUCUUGGGGCCACUUCCUGUCAUGACAUUUGUACUUUGAGCAGAACUGGAGAACAUUCUUUGUAGGUUUUUAAUAGGUCGACAAAAAAAGAAGAUACAACUAAAUAAAUUCUGAAAUAUAUGAUGCUUAGAGUUUAUGACUGUGGACUUGUGUUAAAAAUUAUUCAGUAGCAAAGACAUUCGGUUGCGGUUUUAUUUCAUGUUAUUGUGACAAUAUGAACAAUGCAUUAUAUUGAGUAUUUGUAUAGAUGGGUUAGCUGACAACGUUACCAAAAGAACGAUGUGCACGCUUCAAUGGGGCUGAAGUCUGUGAGGUGUUAUAUACCUGGAGGGACAGAUAGAUACCAACAAUGAGAAGAAGAAAAUUGUGGGGAAUCGUAAGUGACUCGUUUCAGCUAGUUUCAUCUUGUUCUUGAUACCAUGUCUUGUUUUGAGAUGUUUUGAUUCAUUUCAUGUCAACGCUAAUGUGGUUAAAAUUCACUAGCUAGCUAACCAACAACUGUAACCAUGUAUUUGAGAGACAACAAGUGGUUAUUGUGCACAUUUAUUUCUGUUUUCAAUAAACACUGGAGACUAAAUAUAGCUGCCAUGUUGUCAACAGUCUAAGCCAACCCUGUCUGUUCGUCACCAUAGUGUUUACGCACAUCGGUUUUGUUGCUAAACAACCAACCUGUCUAUAAUCAAAUGAUGAAAUGUGCAUUUUGACAAACAGGAAUAAGCAUGUCUUUGGCAUGUUUAGAUGUAUAUUGGAUAGAGCCAGCUCUCAGCCAGCUCUGGGCCGUUGUACAGUAAAUUAUAUAUAACACCUGUAUGGGGGUGUUAUAACACAUCUGAUGAUAUCUAACACCUAUAUGGGGGUGUUAUAACACAUCUGUUGAUAUCUAACACCUAUAUGGGGGUGAUAUAACACAUCUGUUGAUAUUGAACACCUAUAUGGGGGUGUUAUAACACAUCUAAUGAUCU